RNAcentral lists this long non-coding RNA (1143 nucleotides) under Piliocolobus tephrosceles (Ugandan red Colobus). RNAcentral describes it as "lncRNA (ENSPTEG00000001577.1)". Lineage: Eukaryota; Metazoa; Chordata; Mammalia; Primates; Cercopithecidae. The record is from RNAcentral.
AUGUUUUGCAUAUCCCAAACAGACAUUUUAAACAUAAAUAAAUAUGCUUGGUUUAUAUCAAUUAUGUUAGAGUUUAUAAAUAUUAAUAAAAUUAUUAUUAACGACAUGUACACAGAAGGAGUAGAUGAAGAAACUCAUCUUCAGUUAGACGAUUUAGUACAAAGAUAUACAACUUUCGAUAAUAUGUCAUCGAUUGAUGCGACAGAUGACGCAACGGAUGACGUAACGGAUGACGUAACAGAUGAGUAUAAGAAAAAGGGUAUAAACACAAAAAACAAUGUUAAAAAAAAUGUCAAAAAAAAUGUCAAAAAAAAUGUCAAAAAAAAUGUCAAAAAAAAUGCCCAAAAAAAUGCUAAAAAAAAAGCAAACGAAAGGGCAGUAGAAAGGGCAAUAGAAAACGAACUUAACCAAAUUGUGAAAACAUAUAUUAAGCUGUCUGAUAUUGCUAAAAACGUUAUGAUCUAUUACAACGGAAUAUUAUAUUUUGAAUUUAUAUAUAAUAAACAAUUAGAAUAUAUUAAAAAAUGGAAUGUAUUAAAAUUAAAAAACGAAAUAAUAUCUGAAAUUAUUAAUAAAAAAAUGAAUAUAACUAAAAUACAAUCUUUUGCAGAUGUAUGUAAUUUCAAAUUUCAUAAUGUAGCUAUGAUAGUUAUGCAAUUAUUGGUCGAUUUAUUUUAUAUAUCAAAUGACAUAAAAUGUAAAUGCUUUUUUCUUCUAUGCAUAUGUAAAAUCUUAUCUAAUUAUUAUUAUUCUCAUUUUAUUAAUGAAUUAAAAAUAAGAAAUAUAUUUUAUUAUUGUAUUAAUUCGUCUAAUUCGACUUUACAAAAAAGUUUUCUCUAUACUCUUCUUCAAUUAAUUAAAACAUAUGAACAUUUUCUAAAUAGCAAAAACAGUGUACUUGCGAUUCAAAUAGAGAAGGGAAGUGGUACUAAAAAGGAAAUAAAAGAAACAAAAGAAACAAAAGAAACAAAAGGAACAAAAGGAACAAAAGGAACAAAAGGAACAAAUGAAACAAAUGAAAUAGAAGACAACAAUAAUAAAAAGAAAAGCGUGAAAAAAAAUGUGAAAAAAAAACGUGAAAAAAAGCUUAAGCAAAAAUGUGAAAAAAAGUUUGAGCAAAAAUAUGAAAAAAAGCUUAAGUAA